Osmia lignaria (orchard mason bee) is the source of this 1389-nucleotide long non-coding RNA. RefSeq lists it as uncharacterized. The record is from RefSeq and is a predicted model, not a curated record. Lineage: Eukaryota; Metazoa; Arthropoda; Insecta; Hymenoptera; Megachilidae.
CGUCGAUUCAAAUUCCUAUGCUAUUUGAAUGCGUGUGCAUUCCAUAUAAUGCAGUAUGUGAUUACAUAUUAAAUUGGAAAGUAAAUUUAAUAUGUAUGUGGAGUUUUUAUCGACGUUUGUGCGCAACAUUCUAAUAUAUUUUGACAAAAUCGUGUAAGAAACGAGAUGUCCAGUUUUUGACAAUCCGGCAUUAUUGUGAAUUCUUGUGGGUUUUCCAUUUCCACAAUCUCUAAUUGAUUUGAGCUGCUAUCGUUACAUUAAUUGAGGGUAACGAAUCGCCGAUACGCUUGUUCCAUAAAAUAAAACAACUACGGGAUUAUCAUGAUCUAACGAAACUACAAUCAAAGAAGAUAGACAGAACGUACAGAGUUUCCAAUAAAAUACCAGGACAAAUAACAGAAGUAUGUUCUCAAAACAGAAAUGCAAUUACUUUCUUGCAAGAUAUAUCUGGAAAUAUGAUUAAGUACCUGUUCAAACAUUGAUGGGGAAAUUAUAAGCAAAAAAUGAUGGAGUAGAAAAGUUGAAUAAAUCCAUUAAAGAAAUUAAACAGUGUGGAAUGAAAUACUAGGUCAAAUAACAAAAACGUACCUUGAAAAAAGAUGUACAGAAUUGCUUCAUAAUAAGCAACACGCUCGGGUCUGGCCAGUUGCUUAUUACGGAUCAGGUAUGCUAUUCAGCUCGACUUUGAUCUCGAAACGGGACGAUAGAGAACACGAGAAACGAGUGAGAGAUCCGAGGUAGCGGCAAAUCAUAAAGUGAUCGGCGGAGCAAGGAUGUUAUUUUUUGAACAAGGAUAGAAUAUUCUACUAACCGAUGUCACUGCUCAGUCGAGCGUGACAAUUUAUUACCCAAAACAUCGGCUUCUCGCUUUCACGGACUUCUCACUCAUUUCUCGAACCUCUCACUUUGCGGGCGACAUUAAACGAUAAGGUGGGGAUAGAGAUUUGCAUGUUUCCAGCCGGAAAACUGUUGCUUAUUACGGAUCAAUACUGUAAUUACUAUCUCGCAAGAUAUAUCUGGAAAUAUGUUUAAGGUAAAAGAAAUAUCAAACCUUAUUUUCUUCAAUACAUCCUUUAUUUCAAAUUAAUGUUGUUGAGUACAAUGUAUCAAUAAAUAAUAAUAUGAUUUCUUUUUCUUUAUCUUCAGCAUUUAAUCAGACAUUGAUGACGAAAUUAUAACAAAGAAUGUAUGGAGUAGAAAAACUUGAUAGAUACAGAACUAUCCAAAGAGGAGGAGUAUUAAAUUAGAUAAGUUUGUCUUCCAAAUCAUGGACUAUAAAAACCAUGUAAUAACAAAAAUUUUGUUAUUUGUCCUACUAUUUCAUUCAACACUGGUUAAUUUCUUUAAUGCAUCUAUUCAACUUUUCCACUCCAUAAUUUUUUGAUUGUA